RNAcentral lists this unclassified non-coding RNA (200 nucleotides) under soil metagenome. RNAcentral describes it as "partial contains internal transcribed spacer 2 and large subunit ribosomal RNA". The record is from RNAcentral.
GUUUGCGGGGCUUCUGAAAAAAUGAAGUCGGCUCCCCCUGAAAAUGCAUUAGUGGUAUCUGAGCAGAGACUACUUACAGGUGUGAUAAAAUUAUCUAUCUAUGCCUCGGUAUGCUGCAUGAAACAGAUUGCACCGCUCAUAACAAGUGGAAAUUUGACAAGUUUGACCUCAAAUCAGGUAGGACUACCCGCUGAACUUAA